RNAcentral lists this small RNA (92 nucleotides) under Klebsiella pneumoniae. RNAcentral describes it as "partial RtT sRNA". It matches the Rfam family "RtT RNA", at positions 1 to 89 of the family's 130-position model. Rfam says of the family: This family represents a bacterial cis-regulatory element known as RtT RNA. The exact function of RtT is unknown although it is thought that it may be involved in changing the cellular response in relation to amino acid starvation. Lineage: Bacteria; Pseudomonadati; Pseudomonadota; Gammaproteobacteria; Enterobacterales; Enterobacteriaceae. The record is from RNAcentral.
UGCAUCUGAGGCCAGUGAGGAUGAGAACCUCCGGGGGCAGGAGGUUCGACUCGAGCGAAGCGAGAGAACGUUGCGUCAGCAACGGCCCGCAG